RNAcentral lists this ribosomal RNA (1187 nucleotides) under Staphylococcus aureus. Its description in RNAcentral is "partial 23S ribosomal RNA". It matches the Rfam family "Bacterial large subunit ribosomal RNA", at positions 283 to 1470 of the family's 2925-position model. Lineage: Bacteria; Bacillati; Bacillota; Bacilli; Caryophanales; Staphylococcaceae. The record is from RNAcentral.
GCUUGCUUGUUGGGGUUGUAGGACACUCUAUACGGAGUUACAAAGGACGACAUUAGACGAAUCAUCUGGAAAGAUGAAUCAAAGAAGGUAAUAAUCCUGUAGUCGAAAAUGUUGUCUCUCUUGAGUGGAUCCUGAGUACGACGGAGCACGUGAAAUUCCGUCGGAAUCUGGGAGGACCAUCUCCUAAGGCUAAAUACUCUCUAGUGACCGAUAGUGAACCAGUACCGUGAGGGAAAGGUGAAAAGCACCCCGGAAGGGGAGUGAAAUAGAACCUGAAACCGUGUGCUUACAAGUAGUCAGAGCCCGUUAAUGGGUGAUGGCGUGCCUUUUGUAGAAUGAACCGGCGAGUUACGAUUUGAUGCAAGGUUAAGCAGUAAAUGUGGAGCCGUAGCGAAAGCGAGUCUGAAUAGGGCGUUUAGUAUUUGGUCGUAGACCCGAAACCAGGUGAUCUACCCUUGGUCAGGUUGAAGUUCAGGUAACACUGAAUGGAGGACCGAACCGACUUACGUUGAAAAGUGAGCGGAUGAACUGAGGGUAGCGGAGAAAUUCCAAUCGAACCUGGAGAUAGCUGGUUCUCUCCGAAAUAGCUUUAGGGCUAGCCUCAAGUGAUGAUUAUUGGAGGUAGAGCACUGUUUGGACGAGGGGCCCCUCUCGGGUUACCGAAUUCAGACAAACUCCGAAUGCCAAUUAAUUUAACUUGGGAGUCAGAACAUGGGUGAUAAGGUCCGUGUUCGAAAGGGAAACAGCCCAGACCACCAGCUAAGGUCCCAAAAUAUAUGUUAAGUGGAAAAGGAUGUGGCGUUGCCCAGACAACUAGGAUGUUGGCUUAGAAGCAGCCAUCAUUUAAAGAGUGCGUAAUAGCUCACUAGUCGAGUGACACUGCGCCGAAAAUGUACCGGGGCUAAACAUAUUACCGAAGCUGUGGAUUGUCCUUUGGACAAUGGUAGGAGAGCGUUCUAAGGGCGUUGAAGCAUGAUCGUAAGGACAUGUGGAGCGCUUAGAAGUGAGAAUGCCGGUGUGAGUAGCGAAAGACGGGUGAGAAUCCCGUCCACCGAUUGACUAAGGUUUCCAGAGGAAGGCUCGUCCGCUCUGGGUUAGUCGGGUCCUAAGCUGAGGCCGACAGGCGUAGGCGAUGGAUAACAGGUUGAUAUUCCUGUACCACCUAUAAUCGUUUUAAUCGAUGGGGG